AUGGUUGACGUCGUAGACGGUGUGGAGGAGCACUCCGGUGUGAAUCCGGUCUCGUCUACGGGAGAUGGGGGAACCGCGGUCUCUCGUGAGGAAUUAAAUGUGGCGUUGGACACAUUGAAAACCUCCAUGACUACCGAGGUCGAAAGCAUGUUUAAUAAAUACUUAGAAGGGAUUAAGCUUUCUACCGCACCGUUGAAAGUGGGUGAUCCCGCCAACAAGGUGACGGAUGCUACCUCCGACAAAGGGGAAGCUACUAGCGAGAAAGCUCCUUCUUCUAGUGGUAAAAAGGGCACCGGCAUCUUUGCCCAUGUGGAACCUCCACCUGUCUAUGAUGGACCGCUCCCUUCCACUCAUUUAAAUCAUGCCGGCCCGGCUCCUAAGAUUGAGAAUAAUGUAGAUUUUGAUUCUUGGGUCUAUCGUUUUAAGCGUCAUUUAAAUCAUGUGAACACUAACCUUUGGAGAAUCAUUGAAGAAGGUUUUUAUCCGCAUGACCGAAGUAACUUCACUCCUAGAGAAGUUAUGGAUCAUCAAUUCAAUGAGAAUGCUCUCUUCAUCAUCCAAUAA
Molecule: ribosomal RNA, 564 nt
Filed under: Triticum aestivum (bread wheat)
Lineage: Eukaryota; Viridiplantae; Streptophyta; Magnoliopsida; Poales; Poaceae
Description: partial small subunit ribosomal RNA
Source: RNAcentral